ACAAAGGUAUUUGAUGCUAGAAAACUCGUCAAGGCUAGAGAAAGCCCCGAAACACGCCAGAGUUGAAAAAUGCCCGGGAGCACGACAAGGCUGCAAAAGAUAUGGAAGCUUGCAAGGGCUAGAAAAAUGCCCGAAAACUUUUCAAGCCAUUAUUAUAUCACUCGGAUCAAUUUUUGCCAAGACAAGAUCUUAAACCUGAUUGGUUGGCAAGGCAAGUAAAAAGAAAGCAAGGA
This 233-nucleotide long non-coding RNA is filed under the name Manihot esculenta (cassava). RNAcentral describes it as "long non-coding RNA (MESC_LNC007425)". The record is from RNAcentral. Lineage: Eukaryota; Viridiplantae; Streptophyta; Magnoliopsida; Malpighiales; Euphorbiaceae.